This 648-nucleotide long non-coding RNA is filed under the name Brassica napus (rape). RNAcentral's name for it is "long non-coding RNA (BNAP_LNC009388)". Lineage: Eukaryota; Viridiplantae; Streptophyta; Magnoliopsida; Brassicales; Brassicaceae. The record is from RNAcentral.
AUUUCGCAUUCUACCGUUCGGAAGCUGGUCACUAUCGAGUUCUCGUGCUGCAUGCUGCUUCUGCAGAAGCCACUACCAGAAAUUAAAGUUUUGCUGGUGUGGAUGAAAAUCCAAGUGCCAGACUUUACCACUCUCCACGUCUGGUCAAGCAGUCGAGUGCUCCAUGUAUGUCACAGUACUUUGGCACUUUUAUAUACCGUCCCCUGUAUCGUAUAGCCUAGAGCGUUUUAAUACAGGUACUUGCGCGUAUGAUUUUUGGGGACCCCAAUAUGCCUUAGGCUAUACAGGGGUUUUAGGUAGUAUCGACAGCAUACUCAGGUUUGCGCAGCCCCAUUCCUGUUUUAUGUCUCAUACCCAUUUGUUUUCACGUGGAAAUACCACGUAUCAGUGAAGUUGAGCUGGGAUUUAUCAGGUUUCGUGGAACCUGAUCCAGCCCUAUAUGCCCCUUUAAGUAUUGUGGCUUUCCUACUACUUUUAUAGUCGGAACUAUUUCAUUAUAUAAGCUUUGUCCGGAGACUCUUAGCAUACAUAUAAGUAGGAAACCAAAAUAUUUAAACAAUAGAUAAUAGAGUAAUAUAAAUCGAGAUUUGGGGAUCCUAAUAUAGAAUAGUAGGUUGCAAGGUGUUCCAAAUAGGUAGACUACGUUUU